CACGUAGGAGGCGAGCGUUGUCCGGAAUCAUUGGGCGUAAAGAGCGCGCAGGCGGCUUGGCAAGUCGGGUGUGAAAUCCCGGGGCUCAACCCCGUGACUGCAUCCGAUACUGUCAGGCUAGAGGUAGGUAGGGGAGAUCGGAAUUCCUGGUGUAGCGGUGAAAUGCGCAGAUAUCAGGAGGAACACCGGUGGCGAAGGCGGCUUCCUGGACCGACACUGACGCUGAGGCGCGAAAGCUAGGGGAGCAAACGGG
RNAcentral lists this ribosomal RNA (253 nucleotides) under uncultured prokaryote. Its description in RNAcentral is "partial 16S ribosomal RNA". It matches the Rfam family "Bacterial small subunit ribosomal RNA", at positions 524 to 776 of the family's 1533-position model. The record is from RNAcentral.